Mauremys mutica (yellowpond turtle) is the source of this 2671-nucleotide long non-coding RNA. RefSeq lists it as uncharacterized. The transcript is spliced from 3 exons. NCBI's taxonomy places the organism in Eukaryota, Metazoa, Chordata, Testudines, Geoemydidae. The record is from RefSeq and is a predicted model, not a curated record.
GUGAAAUCACCUGAAGGGCAGGUCAUGUGGCUGACUCAAGCCUUGGGGGGUGGGUAGAGAAGCCAGAAGCUUGUACAGACCAAGAGGGGGACUAUAGCAUCGACAGCACUUGAAGAACAAAGGAAGCAGCAUUAGACUAUGGAGGGAUCCUGAGUGAAAGAAUUCAGACAAUAAGAUUGCUAGAAUGUGUGGGGGGACAGCAAAUGCCAACAAGCACAUUCUGUCCUGGGGUUUGAUCCAACGCCCCACUGAAAUGAAUAGAAAGAUUCCCAUUGACUGCCAUGAACUUUGGAUCCAGCCCUUACCUCCUGUUCAAACAGGUGACAUGGCAGUGGACAAAGCAUAUGCACUAGCAUUUAAUAUCACACUCCUCUUGUGUGGGAAUUUGCAACUUUUGAACUGUCCCUGUUCUCUUGUUACUUGGAAUUCAGGGACGGUUGAGUGAACUUGUAUAGCUUUCGGAUUGUUGGGGUUUUUGUUUUUAUUUUUAAUUAAAACUUUUUUAUGGAAAUUUUCACAUAUUUACAAAUGACCAGUUCUAACAAAUGCAGAAUUUUCAUGUAGUCAAUAUGAAAUACUGGAAUAUACUUUGAAGCCUGAAGAUUAGGAUAUCCUAUUUAAGACAUGUGUAUGAUCUUAGCCAUGCCACAAAGCCUCUUUUGAAGAUCGAGUCUAUCCAAGUCAAAUUUUCAAUAAUUAUAAAAAUACUGGGUCAGAUUCACUGUGGUGUAACUCCAUUGAUGUCAGCGGAGUUAAACCACAGACAAAUAAGGCUAAAAGUCCUUUAUGGAAAAAGCAUGAAAUGAAAAAGGCCUCAGCAAUUAAACUAACAGGCUUUUCAACACAAAAGGGAGAGAAACGAAGAGGUUUGUGUUUUGCCUAAUCAGUUUUGCAUCCUUAAAUACACCCUGCGUGAAGAAUUGAAAUCUAGAAAGAGCCAAGUCUUCGCACUCCUAGCCAGAUCCUCGCUAAAGCCCUGAAUACGACGUGUCAUGAUGAUUAAUUGUGGGUAAUGAGUGUUUUAUGAACCUAAGAAAGAAACACAUUUGUUUCUCUGGUACUGUAGUUGUAGACUCCUGUUUUGUUUUAAAGCUUUAGAUAUGCAAAGCCAAAGAGAUGAUGAAACCCCUCUCUCAGCUCUUUUGUUUAUUUAUGGAACAGCUACUAUUAGAGGUGCAGGGUCAGAUUCCACUCACACGAGUAGACCCGUUGGCCUCGGUAGCCCUGUGCGAGCAAGGAAGGAUUUGACACAAAGUACUGUAAUUUUCUAUUUUUCCUUUCAGAAAAGAUUAAAAUGGCAUCCUGACGUAGAAAAACUAAGGAAAAUGGGUUCUGUGGUCAUCUGCCAUAGAAAAUCAAUGUGACUGACAGCAGGCUAGCAUGCUACUCCAUGUGAAUAAGGGUGGCAGAAUGAGACCCUCAAUGAAAUGGCCUGUUCGUUGUGACUUGCUAAUUGUGGCCCUGAUCCAGACCCCAUUGCAGUCCAGUGGGAUAUAGGGAAUAUAGGGGUUUCCAUUGACUUUGAGCUUCUGAUCAGGCCCUAAGUGUCCAGUCCAGACACUCAUUGAAUAGAUUCAUAAAAGCUUAAGGAAAGCCUGGGGGCAGUAGCAGAGGUCCAGCACAGGUUGACUCUGCCUACCCAUGAACAUUGGUGUGGAUUUCAGCUGUUCUCUAUCGAGAGCAGAAACGGGGGCAUGGCCAAUGGUUCUGCAAGUGACCUGGAUCCGUGUGGCCUCCUUUCAGUGCAGGACAGGAAUAGGCGGCCUUAUAUUCUUCUCUGCAGCAGCCAGCACUGCAGGUCCUUGCAGACCCCUCUAGUGGGGUUAGGACUCCCCAGCUCCACAAGAGUUUCACUUGAAUGCAGCCCUUAAUUUGAGGCAAUGCUCAGUCUUGGGUCUAUUUUAAUUCACCAGUGUGGUACAGUAGGCCAGAUUCUGCAGAGGGAUUAAUAUAGCUGGACCUUUACUCCUAUGCAGAGUCCCACUGAUAUUAGUGGAACUCCAUGAAUUAGGGCCUAAUUAGAUAGUAUAAUUACACUAACAUUUUAAAGGGGUUGGGGGAGAGGGAAUAACUCUUCUCAUUCAGACUUGGUCUAUUGUUGUUCUUCAGUGUGCCAGAAGGUGGUGCAAAAUCACUGCUCAUCCCACCAAUGAAGACAAAACUCAUUCUCAGUUUUUCAAAGACUACUCUACAACUAUCCAAGUAUAGUGCCAACUGGGAAAAAUAUGAGCCUCAACCUUAAUAGCUUUUUCUUAUUAUCCUAUGCAAUAUGGUAUGAAUUUAUGCCUGGGAAUAAAUAAUGAGUGGUAAGAGAAUUGAAGAGAAUUUGGACAAUUCUAAAUGAUAUUUUAAUGCGAUAAUAAUAAUUACAAAAGGGAUUUCAAAUGUGAUUAUGUUUAUAGGACAAAAAAGUCUUUGUUUCAUUGAAUGCAUAAAAAACACUGGGGAUACACUAAUUUACCUCUAUGUAUUUGUUUCCUCCUCUUUGUAUGAAUGCUUAUUUCUUGUUUUAACUCUGUUUAAAAGAUUUUCAUAGCCAAUAUAUUAUUCCCAUGUGGUAUUUGAAAUGGAAACAGUUAUUUUAUGGAAAAAAUAUUGUCAGAUACAUCUAAGUCAAAGGAGGCAAUAGCUUUGAAUGCUGAAUAUUCCUUUGUAUUUAAAAAUAAAUAAA